AAGAAGGAAAACCUGUUCGACGUUCUUCCUUCCCUGCUCUUGUCCGGUGGAACGAACCAAAAAAUUCUUGGUGACCCUUCCCAUUCCUCCCCUGUUUUCUUCUCCCUCUCUCUUUCAUGCACGGACACAGUUUCAGUUUUUUCAUUUGAUUUUGCUAUACUUUUGUUGCAUUCUCUGUCAUUCUUCAAUGCUAAAGAAACCCUUUCAUCUUCUUUCUCUUCCUCUCUCCCAUGAAUUCUUUCUUUAUUUGAUUUUGGCAAGCAAAUUUGCUCUUCCUAGUUCCUCCUCGGUCACCUUUUUUUGGCCCCUCCCUUUCUUUCUCUCUUCCACGAAUGGGGUCUAGAUGUUGUUCUUUCUCUGCUUACACGUUUUGAGGUUGUCAAGAAGGAAAGCAAAAAAAAGUAUAUAUUGAGUUCGUGGGCAGUCCCAUUGACAAUGGAAAGAAUAUGAUUAUGAGGGGCGAGCCUCAUUCUCCGAGAGACCGACUUGGAGCUUCAAAAUCCUGGUUUGAUUGCAAUCGUUGCAGCAGAUAGCGAUUUUCUAGAGAGCAACUACAGGGAAAGCUCCCUCUCAACCUUUUGCCGAUCAGUAGCACUAACAGUAACCAAACUCUUUCCCACUCCCUUUUCCUCCUGAUUCCUCCUCCGUCUCAUUUGAUUUUUCCUUUUUGUGUUUUUCGUUCUUAUGUUUUGCCCCAAUCGCCUUCAUCUUCAAGUUGCAUAGAUCAUGCCCAAUCUGCCGGAAGUGCACCCCUUCAAUGGCUGCUAUAUUCGUGAUUCUCUCCACAGCCAAUACAUGGAGGCCGUACUUUCAUCUAAACACAAGGCACCCAACCAGAGCCGAAAGUUGUUCUAGACGCCAGUCUUCAUUACUGAGAGUGAGAGGAUGUGCUUGCAGGCACGAUGUAGCUUCCAAACGAGCUGCACUUGCUAUCCAUAUAUUAUGGAAUUGUAUAACCUGCAGUCUCAAUGGCACAUAUUAUUUGCAUAUAUAACAGAAGCAAUAUGUGGAAAUGGAACCGCAGUCUCAAUGUCUGAGGCAAAAUCAAUCAGUUCCUCGCCAACAAUAGAUAGACAGAUGGAAGUCCUUUCCUUUGAGUGGAAAUUUCUCAGGUCUUAUUUAAUUGCGUUGACGAUUGGUGAAUUGGUUGGCAAUUUCUAGCACUGCAACUGGGAUAAUAGCGAUAAUAGGUACUUAUGAUGGCCGGGCUGUUUGAGUGUUUCAGUAUCACUGAGUAGGGACUUGUGCCUGGAAAACUGCAAUUGCAGAAAAGUGUAGAUUUCUUUUUUUUUAAUACCCAGAGGAUUGGUCGUAGAAAUUGGCUAGAAUUGUAGGGUAGAUAUUUGUUGCAAGGUCCAAGCUGAUGUCUCUAGGGGCUAUCAUUUGGUGGACGGUUCCUGUAUCAACACAUGUUGAUAGAUGCCUAUGGUAGCUAUUUGACUCCAAACGCCAUGAAUGGAUCCUUGAUAUGAUCUCCAGAUUCUUUUCCUAAAUAUAUAGACUUCUUAUACCUAUUUCUUGGAAUCUGAUUUGCCUCAAUAACAGAAUUUCAUGAAUUUUGGUAUAGUUUGAUAGUUUGGAAACAUUGAACGGGAAUUAUCUUUCCUAGUUUAAUAGCAUGGGAUGGAAUUGAUGGCAACAACCGCCUGUCAUUUUUCUUUUCAAAUUCUUUAUCAUGUAACUGAUGCUCAUCACUGUUUCUGUGGUAUGCAUAUGUUAUGGAAUUGUAUAACCCGCAGUCUUCAUUACUGAUUGAUUUGGCCUCGACAUGGAGACUGCGGGUUAUACAAGUCCACAUACUGAAUUCUGAGCUAUAUGUGGAAGAAUGCUUCUGUGGUAUGCAUAUAUUAUGGAAUUGUAUAACCCGCAGUCUUCAUUACUGAUUGAUUUGGCCUCGACAUGGAGACUGCGGGUUAUACAAUUCCACAUACUGAAUUCUGAGCUAUAUGUGGAAGAAUGCUUCUGUGUUAAUUUGGAUGAUUAGUCCGCUUUACAUCUGUUCUUUCUGGCUUUUCUAGCUGAUUCUGGCAGCUCGUAAAUAUCCUUGUCUCAGGCACAUGAUAUUCAUGGUCAUGUGCCAUUCAUGGUCAAAUGUUGAAGAACACUAUCCUUCACUUAUUACAGGUACGGAAGAUUAACGCACUCUCCUAUAUGUGGAUAUCAGCACAACCUCUUUCUGGAUUUUGAACUCACCGAGCUACUCUGUCGUUGGCAUGAACCUGAAAAAUGUUAUGCACAUAAAGCACUAAGGAUUUUUUUUUUUCUUGUCCGUCUUUUCCGUCUAACAGACUGAGUUAGAUAUGCGACUCUGAAGGAGCUUGUGUAGCCUUGUCUGUGUAUUAAAGCUGAUGAGAAUUUGUGUAUCAUUGCCCAUCAUUUUUGCAGAUGCAUGCUUGAUGAGCUGUGACCUCUCCAAGGCUGCCCUUCGUACUGCACACUUGCAGACGUUAUUCUAACCUUGAAGGGGCAAACUUAAAGAUAGAGUGCCACUUCAACCAAUUCUAUUCCUAUCUCAGACCGGGCUUAAGAAAAUGCCAAGAAUUGGAACUGAAGGAGUGCAUGCAAGGGCACUGACACAAGAAGAACGGUGAACAUGGUCACGGUUAUUGCAAAAAGGAUCGAUGGUUGUUUUUGGCAGCACAGAGAGUUGCAGCCUUGUAGAUUUGAAACAAGAACCGACUAUCUAUCAAGCCCCAUCCCAACCAUUGUACCAACCUCCUUCGGGAUGAGUUCAAUGGUUGUUGAAGAACACGGUUUGAUACAGGGCACCAUUGAUGCUAAUGGUGGUCAGAAUAAAGUCGAGAUGUAUAGGUGAUUCUUGGUGAGUGGGAUUUCCCAACACCUAGUAGAAGGCCAAAGCCACCACCCACUCCCUCAUCUUUUUAUGGUACAUGACAUGCUUUGGUGCUUAGAGGUUUCAUUCAUGCUCCAUUUUAACUUGAGUGAUGCCAACUCCUUUCACCCCCACUCUUUUUGCAUGGAGAGUUGAUGAUAUGAGAAUUUGAAACAGUGAUUGACCACCUACCAGCACCCAGUAGGGAUGUCAACGGAUCAGAUUCAGAUCAAAUAUACCUUUUACCA
Long non-coding RNA from Nymphaea colorata (pocket water lily), 3081 nucleotides. RefSeq lists it as uncharacterized. The record is from RefSeq and is a predicted model, not a curated record. The transcript has 4 exons. NCBI's taxonomy places the organism in Eukaryota, Viridiplantae, Streptophyta, Magnoliopsida, Nymphaeales, Nymphaeaceae.